AAGUCAUGGUAAGGGACAUUGCUUUAGUAGCUUAUUAAAUCUCUCCCAUGCCUCUUGGAAUGGCUCUCUUAGUAGUUGGGAGAAAUUAAAAAUCUUGUACCUGGAGCU
Molecule: small nucleolar RNA, 108 nt
Organism: Prosopis cineraria
Lineage: Eukaryota; Viridiplantae; Streptophyta; Magnoliopsida; Fabales; Fabaceae
Source: RefSeq, a predicted model, not a curated record